Molecule: long non-coding RNA, 8916 nt
Filed under: Gossypium barbadense (sea-island cotton)
Lineage: Eukaryota; Viridiplantae; Streptophyta; Magnoliopsida; Malvales; Malvaceae
Description: long non-coding RNA (GBAR_LNC003666)
Source: RNAcentral
UUGUGUUACUGUUUCUCUGUCUUUUGUCGACUUGUGUUUGUUGAUGCUCUAGUCACUGAGGUUAUUAAAUUGCAUACUGUUUUGACUAAUCGAUGGAGAGGGAUAUGGCGGAGUUGAGUUUGGAUGAUGGAGAGGGGGAGGCAUUCUCUAUACUAGAGGAUGCUGAGGAAAAAGUUGAUGUUUAUAGUUUUUGUUUGGUGGGUUGUUUUCUUACUGCCAGUGUGGUUCACUUUCCAGCAAUGAGAAAUACAAUGGCAAAUAUUUGGCAUCCUUUGGAUGGCGUGCGAAUCACAGAUCUGGGAGAGAAACGUUUUCUCUUUAGAUUUUUUAAUGAGGUUGAUAUUUCAAGGGUUGUUACAGGUGCUCCUUGGACCUUUAAUAGUCAUCUCUUGAUUUUACAUAGGAUCUUUAAUAGUCAUCUCUUGAUUUUACAUAGGAUUGGGGAAAAUGAAGAUCCAAUGUCUGUUCCUUUGGUGUUCUCUAAUUGUUGGAUUUAGAUUUAUGAUUUACCCCAGGCUUCUAUAGGUAUUCCAUGGCAGUGCAAAUUAAAACUUUAUUGGAAGAUUUCUGGAGUAUGAUACGAAGCAAUUGGCAAUUGGUAAUAUGAAUUACAUGUGCAUACGUGUUCAACUUGAUGUUCGAGUGCCCCUGAAAAGACGAAAAAAAUUAUGAUCUCGACAAGUAAAUCCACUUAUGUUAAUUUCAAGUAUGAAAAAUUAACAUUAUUUUGUUUCUUAUGUGGAUGUCUUGGGCAUGGGGAUAGUUUUUGUCCGAAGCGGCUUCAAUAUGGAUUGCAGGAAAUGGAGUUGGGUUGGGAUUUGUCGUUAAGGGCGCAGGGGAGGAAAGCUUCCAUUGCAAACAAUGUCUGGUUGCAGGGGAGUGGAGAUAAUAGUAAUUUUGGAAAGUCAAAAUUUGGGCAUCAAUCGAGCCAACACUCAAGCUCUAAUUGUGGAAGAAAUUAUGGGGGUAAUUUUAAUUCUGUUUUGGGAAUUAAUCUGGAAGGUUCAAAUUUUUUAGCUACUUUAAAUGAGUCCCAGAAAGGAAAGAAUUUGAGUGAUAAUGGUAGAGAAGAUUUGACGGGUGGAAAAAAUCAAUUGCUGGGAGUUUCAAUGAAAGGUGUUGUUACAAAAACAACUUCUAAUGGGAUGGACCGUUUGCCUGGAUUGGGGGUGGCACAUAUGGACUGUGAAUUGGAAGAGGAACCUUUCUCCCAUGACGACGGAAAAAAAAGACAGCGAGUUAAUAUACUGGGCUCUAAUGUUUCUACGAGUCAAGAUCCAUUAGAGGCUGUGGAUGGGCCUUCAGUUCAUUUCAAUCAGAUAUCGACGGCUGCCAGUGGGCAAGCCGACCGACAGCAAUGAAAAUCUUGUGCUGCAAUGUUCGCGGAUUGGGGAGUCUGCGAGUAGUUAAAAGGCUUCAAUAUAUGCUGAAGUUGUACCAUCCCCAAGUAGUCUUCUUUAUAGAGACUAAAUUAAGUAAGUCAAGAAUGGAUGUUGUUAGAAGGCGUUGUGGUUUUUUCAAUGGUAUUGAUGUUCCAUCUAACGGUCCCCGAGGUGGUCUAAGUCUUGGGUGGAAUGGGAGAAAUUCUGUUACUUUAAAGAGUUAUUCAAGAAAUCAUAUAAACGUCGAAAUUCAAGAUGAUGAAGAUGCUUCCCGUUGACAUUUUACUGGGUUCUAUGGGGCUCCGGAGGUUAGAAAUAAACAAGAAACUUGGGAUUUACUUCGAAGGUUGGGAAGAGAUAAUUCACUCCCUUGGUUAGCAAGUGGAGACUUCAAUGAUAUUCUUUUUACCCAUGAAAAAUAGAGGGGUUGCUAAGAGAAGAGGCUCGGAUGGAGAGUUUUCGUAGAACGUUGGAAGAAUGUUGCUUGGAGGAUAUUGGUUUUUCAAGAGCGUGGUUCACUUGGGAGAGGGGACGAGUAAUGGAAUAUAACAUUCGGGAACAAAUCGAUCGAAGAGUGGCUACAGCCGAAUGGAUUCAAAUGUUUCCAUCAUACUCUUUGCGACAUUUGCCACACUCUUUUUCCGAUCAUUGCCCACUGUUAAUUGAGACGAAGAAUGCUGUUUUGGGGAAAAAAAUUGGCUCAAUUUCGUUUUGAAUCUUGGUGGACUUUAGAGGAUUCCUAUGAGGAGGAGAUUAAAAAGCUAUGGGAGGAGAGUUCUGGCUCAUACUUAAAUCGCAUGGAUAAUCUAGCUAAUGGUUUGAAAGUUUGGGCGAGCAAGUUUAGGCAUAACCGAUGAUGGGAUGUGAAGCGUCUUAAUAGGAGGCUAGAUGAACUAAAUUGCAAAGAGCGAUCAGAGGAGAUUUUAGAAAAGAUUGUCGAGGUCAAACUCCAUCUGAAUAUGGAGCUGGAUAAGGAGGAAAAAUAUUGGGAGCAACAAGCCCGAACUAACUGGUUGAAAAUGGGAGAUAAGAAUACUGCUUUCUUCCAUAAACAUGCAUCCCAGAGAAGGCGUAUUAAUCGAAUUCGAGGUCUUUAACGAAACGAUGGCUCUCUAGCUAUGGAAAGUAAGGAGGUGGAAUCUAUUGCUAGGGAGUAUUUUUCAGAGCUUUUUACGUCUUCUAGGGUCGAAAAUAUGGAGUACAUAUUAUCUGGGGUUUAAUCGUGUAUUUUGGAGAGUAUGAAUCACCUUUUGUUGGCUACCUAUGCUGAGGGAGAAAUUCUUGAGGCGCUUAAAGGGAUGGGUCCUACAAAAGCUUCGGGUGCUGAUGGUUUUCCAGCAAUUUUCUACCAGAAGUACUGGCAUAUAGUUGGUAAGGAUACUUGUAAUUUCUGUUUAGAUAUUCUGAAUAAUGUAGUUCUUUGGAAGAUAUCAAUAGGACGCAUCUGGUGUUGAUUCCAAAGAUUGCUAAUCCUACCAAUUCCAAAGAUUGCCAAGACAGUGGCUACUUGACUCCAAAAGGUAUUGGAUGGGUGCAUAGAUGAUGCUCAAAGCGCGUUUGUUCCUGGUCGUCUUAUCUCAGACAACGUUUUACUUGCUUAUGAAGUUCUUCAUUCUUUUAAGAAUAGAAGGUCGGGUAGAAAAGGUUUCAUUGUAACAGCCCGAUUUUAAGCCUAGUCGAAACAGUAAUUUCGGAACCACUAUUUCGAGGCCAGAGAAAAUUAUUUUAGUAUUAUUUUGUGUUAUAAUAUAAUUUUAUAAGUGCGUGUAAAUUUUGGUAAGUUAAUUUUAGCAAUUUCUACUCUAAUUUUGAAAAAAGACUAAAUCGCAUAAAAGGUAAAAGUUAUGUUUUAAUACCUAAAGGUGUUAAAUUGCCUUGUAUCUUAAAUUGGGGGUAUUUAAAGUAAAAUUAGGCCAUUUAAAGUGUGAUGGCCGGCCAUGGGAGACAAUUUUUGAAAAGUCAAAAUUAGGUGAAAUUUGGUCACUAAUUUUGACUGGUUUUAUUAUUAACAAAUCAAGAAGAAAAAGCUAUCAUUUUUCUCUUCUCCUUCACCGAAAUAUGCAGCAAAGAAAUGGCUUUGAAGCUGGAAAAUUUCAGCAACAUAUUUCCAUUGCUUGUAAGUGAUUUUAAUGUCUUUGCUUGAUGAUUUUUACAUUUUUGGAACCCCUAAAGCAUGAGCUUUCAUAUGAAGGGCUAUAGUUAUGAAAAUGGUUCAUCUAGACUCAAGGAGUAAAGAAAUGUGAUAAAAAUUAUUUUACGAGCCUAGGGGUAAUUUGGUAAUUUUGGCAAAAUAUAAGGGCAAAAUUGUAAAAAUUACCCAAUUGUGUCAAUUGACUAAUUUGAUUAGUACAUUAUUUUAAUAAGUUGAAUGUGAUAUUUUAGAUGAUGAAAAUCGAAAUUUGGACCUAGAACGGAAAGAAAUCGAUUAAGAGAUAAUUACGUCUUUUUUUUCACCUUUAUGGUAUCGAGGUAAGUUUAUGUGUAAAUAAUGUAGCAUAAUUGUUAUUUUUAAGUUAUUGAUGUUAAAUAUAUAAUAUACUGAUUUUUAUCAUAAAAUAUAUGCUUUGUGGUUAUUAUCGAAUAAAAUACAAGAUAUGUGUAUUAUCUGUUAAAUAUAAAGUGCUACCGAGUAUUGGUUUCAAUAUUUUACGAAAGAUGGCAAGGAGAUGUGUUCGAGGAAAAUCUCGUUUGAACCUUAGGAAUAGAUUAAGAUAUAAGUAACAUGUCACUAGGAUGGUUGAGCAUCCGAACUCGUUGAGUUGAGUCCAAGUUCACUUAUGGGCGGGUUGAAUGGUAGCUUGGCUACAUAUGUGGCACUUAUGUGCAAACUUUCUAUGUAUCCGAAUUAUAUUCCGAUAUGUUCAACGGGUAAAAUUCUACUCAAAUGGAGCAAUACUCGAGAUGAAAGAGACGUAUUGGUAAAUGUUGUGAAAUAGACGUAAUUAUACAAACGAUAUAACAACAAUACGGUAACAUGAUAAAUAAAAAUUUGAUAUGAAUGUCUCAGUGAUGAUUAUACAAACGAUAUUGUAUUAAUUUUGUGAACAAUGAUCAUGAAUGAGUAAUUUAGCCUUGACAGAUUUGAGUUACUGCAGUAGUGUAACUUUAAAAGUACACUAAAAAUAGUAGAAAAUGAGUUAAGAGGUAGAAUAAAAUAUAGGAUUAAAGCUUAAUGAGUCUAUUUUCACAUGAAAGAAACAGGGGAAGAAAAAGAUUCCAUAUUGUAUGAUAUUUGAAUUCUUGUGAAACAUGGUCUGAAUGAAUUCGAAAUCCCCUGUUCUGACUUUAGAAAUUCACCAAAAAUUGUACAAAAUUUAUUAAGAAUCAUACCUUACAUGCAUGGAUUCCUUAUUGAGUCUAUUUUUAGAAGAAAUAAACGCCAUGGUCGUUGAAAUUUUGUAUAGGGAGAAAUUCAGUUUGUAGUGCACAGGGGUCAGAGUGGUCAUACCCUGAAACAGGGGAGACUUUAACUAAUAAAUUAUACUAAUUGGCCCAACCAAAAAUUCUAAAAAAAAUUAGUAAGUAGACAUAUGAGUUUAGUUUCAAGAUAAAUAGACGAGAACAUUAUUUGAGUCUUGUACUAUGAGAUAAUUGAACUUUAGUACAGAAGGGUCGGAACUGUCAGACAGUGAAUCAAGGGUAACUUUGACGAAUAAACUGUACUAUUUGGCUAAACCAAAAAAUUUAAAAAUUUUAUGGAAGAAAGAAAAAUAAGUCUAGUUUCAGGAAAAAUUAACGAAACUUAAUUCAGAGUUUCGUAGCUCCAGAUAUAAAUAAUUUAGUGACCGUUGCUCAGAAAGACAGCUUGUAGUGAACUUGAGAAUAUAUUGUAAACAUUAAUAAAACAAGUUAAUGAGUGCUUAUUGUUUUCAUAUGAACUUACUAAGCGAAAGCUUACCCCCCUCUUCUUUCCCAUGUUUUCUAAAGUUUCCAGGUUAUCUCGGGUUGGAGGCCGUUAGAGAUAUUAUCACACUGUCAAGCUAACACUAUUGGUGUAGUGAUUUCAAGUACUUUGGCCGUUAGAGUAUGUGAUAUGACUUUAACUAUAUGUGUUAGGCCUAUUUUUAUUAUGGGGUUGUAAAUCUAUUUUAAUUAUGCAUGCAUGUGCUAUGGUAUUAUGUGAUGAGUUUAUAAUGAUUAUAGUAUGAAUGUGAUAAAGAUGUGAGUAAAAUCUAUGAUAUCUAUUGCAUGUGAAAUUGCCAUAAUCAUGACAUGUUAAGAAUGUUUAAAUACCUAAUUUUGCCAUGUUGUAUGUUAUUGUAUAAGUAUGCGUGUAUCUAUUGUGAAUGUGACAAAAUGGCUUGGAAAAUAACCUUGUAUUUGCCCAGGUUUUUGGACGCAGGUUUGGGACAUGGGCGUGUACUCUAUACCCACACGGGCAUAUGAAGCCUUGAUGCAAGAGAUUUUCUAAGUUUUUUAUGAGUUCUCGAUUGGGUCUCGAACCACUUCAGAUGUAUGUUUUGGGCCACGUAAGCCCGUAUAUGGGACAAAUUGUGAAAAUAAAAGUUUUUAAUUAUUUGAGAUUUCAUGACCCUAUUUAGUAUUGAACUGUUAGUAAAAGUCAGGUAACACCUCGAACCCCGUCCCAACGUCGAAUGCAGGUGAAGGGUGUUACAUUCAUGGCUUUAAAGUUGAACAUGAGUAAGGCAUAUGACAAAGUGGAGUGGCCUUUUAUUAGAGAAAUGAUGGCUAGGACGGGUUUUGAAAACAGGCUCAUUAGUCUUAUCCUCCAUUGUGUCAAUUCUGUCCAGUACUCAAUUUUAAUUAAAAGGGAGGAAGGGUCCAAUUUCUGGGCUUCUAGGGGUUUGCGCCAAGGGGAUCCGUUGAGUCCCUAUUUAUUUCUUUUUUGUGAAGAAAGGCAUUCAGCAUUAAUGAGACUUGCAAAAUAGGAAGGCAAAUUUUUUUGUGCUAAGGUCUGUCGAUCAACUCCACCUAUCACCCAUCUCAUGUUCGUCGAUGAUUGUAUUCUAUUUGGAGAAACUUCAAGAAGGGGAAUUUUUCUGCUGAAAGAUAUUCUUGAGAAGUAUGAGGAUUGUUCGGGGCAGUGCGUAAACUUUGAAAAGUCAACUACGUUUUUCAGUUCAAAUGUGAAUGACCAAGAUAAGAAUUUGGUUUUUCAAAUUCUUAACGUGCGAUGCUCGACGAAUCCUGAGAGAUACCUUGGUCUUCCAAAUAUGGUGGGGCGAAAACAAAAGUUGGCUUUCCAAAAUCUGAAAGAUCGUUUAAAGCAAAGGGUUAAUAGUUGGAGCUUAAGACAUAUUUCACAAGGAGGCCGAGAGGUUUUUAUAAAGGCUGUUUUACAAGCUAUUCCUACUUACACAAUGGCUUGGUUCCUAUUGCCAAAAUCUUUGUGCAUGGAAUUGGAAAAUAUCAUGGGGGCAUUUUGGUGGAGGAAAAAUCAGGGAAAGCGAGGCAUGCAUUGGUGCGAUUGGAAGUCUUUGUGCGCACUAAAGGAAGACAGAGGUAUGGGUUUUCGUAAUUUAAAUUAUUUUAAUAUUGCUUUAUUGGCCAAACAGGGUUGGCGUUUAUUACGUAAUUCUAAUUCUUUACUAGCGCGUACUUUGAAAGCCAAAUAUUUUAAGGAGUCUGAUUUUUUAAACUCAAGGUUGGGAAAGUUACCUUCCUUUACCUGGCAGAGUAUUUCGGCGGCCAAGGGCCUACUUCUGAAGGGGUUGGGCUGGAGGAUUGGAAAUGGAAAACAUGUCUCCAUUUGGGAAGACGCAUGGAUCCCUGGGAAUGAGGAUUUCCGAAUUCAGCAUACAUCUGUUAAUAUGAGCUUAUUAAAAGUUGCUGAUUUAAUCGAGGCAAAUGAUAGAAAGUGGAAAUCUGAGCUGAUUUGUAAUACCUUUUCAGAGCAGGAAGCGGAGCGGAUUCUAUACAUUCCUCUGUCGUUGAACGAGAAUGAUGACCUUAUUAUCUGGCGGGGUGAGCCGACUGGGGAAUAUUCGGUACGGAGUGGCCAUAAACUUCUCUUACACAAUGAUCAGAAUGACUUACAGACAAAUUACAAACAAUUUUACAAAAAGCUAUGGAACUUAGAUCUACCCUCUAAAAUAAAGAUUACAGCUUGGCGUGUUUCACGCAAUUUUUUGCCUACUUUCAGUAACCUACAAUAUCGGAGACUGAGGGGAUCUGCUUCUUGUAGUAGGUGCCAAAACGGUGUGGAGUCGAGGGAACAUUUAUUCCAUGAAUGUCUUAAAGCAAAGGAAACAUGGGAGAAUUUGGGUAUCAGUUGGCCUAUUCCGGAAGAAAAUAAUAAUUUUAGGGACUGGUUACAGCUUAUUUUCCAAUCAAGGUCUACGGUUUUUUGCAGAGUUAUAGUAUGUACUCUAUGGGCGAUUUGGACAUCCAGAAAUAAAUUUAUCCACGAAGGUGAAGUUAAAACGGGUUCACAAAUUCCUGACUUUGUUAAAAAUUUUAUGUUGGAAUUGGAUGGGCUGAAAUCGUCAGUACCUGUAGAACAUCUCUGUGUGGGUGGUUGGGUUGCUCCGAUCGGAAUGAGGCUGAAAAUUAAUUUUGACGCUGCUUUCAACAAACAUAAGAAGGAAUCGUGCUCUGGUUUAGUUAUCCGGAAUAAUAAAGCGCAGAUUAUUGUUUCUAAAAUAGUUAUGAACUCGAACAUACCAUCAGCCUUUGCUGCUGAAGCGGUGGCGUGUCUUCAGGCGCUGCAACUUUGUUUAUAUCUUGGCUUGAGGGAGGUGGAUGUGUUUUCCUUUUUACAAACAGGGAUGUUAACAAAGUUGCGCAUCUCUUUGCAUCAGAAGGAAUAAGAAGGAGAGAGUCAACUUAUCUGGUAAAUCAGGUAUUUUCUGUCGCGGCGAAAAUGGUGGCUGAGGAUCAACGGAAGACAGAGAGCAUGAGAGAACUGAGGAGUCGGAGGGUAGGAGAUGAAGAAGAAAAUGUUUGUUUGAAUCUAUCUGUGGAAGAUCUUUCAGGAAGGAGGGUGUAAUCAAUGAAGUUGUUGGUUUUUGAAACGGUCAGUGGGUAAUUAAUUGUUGGCAUUUAAUUUCUGACCCUGCUUAUCACGCGUUUUGAUGUUUUUCAAGAGGGGUUUCUUUUGGUUGGUUUCCAGCUGGAGUAGAAGGCUUUAAAGCUCCCUUUUGUCAGUUUUACUGGUUAUAUGUUUUGGGCUAAUUUUUCUUUUAUUUUUGGACUUGCUGCUUUGUUCUUCCGUGGGUUUUUCUUUCUUAUUUUGUUAUCAUGUUUUUGCUUGGUGUUGAGCUGGGUUUGGAGUCUCUUGGGCUUUUCCUGAUUUUGGUAUGAGUGGUUUUUUUGGUUGUUUGGUCUUGUUCUGUUUUGUUUUUUUUAUGUAUUAGCCUUUGUUCAAUAUAACCAGUGAGUAUUUAUUUAAAAAAAUAAUAAUCUUAAAAUUUUGAGUUUUGUUUGUGGAAAUUAUGUGUAACUAAAUUAAUUUAAAUUGAAUUAAUUAUUCAAUUAAGUAUUUAUAAGAUUGAGCAUUUAACUCGAUUUAAUAACUAUAAUAAUUUAUUCCAAUGUUAACAUUCUAAUAUGAUUGUAAUUUAUAACUUAAAAA